This 497-nucleotide ribosomal RNA is filed under the name uncultured bacterium. RNAcentral describes it as "partial 16S ribosomal RNA". It matches the Rfam family "Bacterial small subunit ribosomal RNA", at positions 28 to 507 of the family's 1533-position model. The record is from RNAcentral.
GAUGAACGCUGGCGGCGUGCCUAAUACAUGCAAGUCGAGCGAACGGACGAGAAGCUUGCUUCUCUGAUGUUAGCGGCGGACGGGUGAGUAACACGUGGAUAACCUACCUAUAAGACUGGGAUAACUUCGGGAAACCGGAGCUAAUACCGGAUAAUAUUUUGAACCGCAUGGUUCAAAAGUGAAAGACGGUCUUGCUGUCACUUAUAGAUGGAUCCGCGCUGCAUUAGCUAGUUGGUAAGGUAACGGCUUACCAAGGCAACGAUGCAUAGCCGACCUGAGAGGGUGAUAGGCCACACUGGAACUGAGACACGGUCCAGACUCCUACGGGAGGCAGCAGUAGGGAAUCUUCCGCAAUGGGCGAAAGCCUGACGGAGCAACGCCGCGUGAGCGAUGAAGGUCUUCGGAUCGUAAAACUCUGUUAUUAGGGAAGAACAUAUGUGUAAGUAACUGUGCACAUCUUGACGGUACCUAAUCAGAAAGCCACGGCUAACUACGUG